Molecule: ribosomal RNA, 429 nt
Filed under: Gemmatimonadota bacterium
Lineage: Bacteria; Pseudomonadati; Gemmatimonadota
Description: Gemmatimonadetes bacterium partial 16S ribosomal RNA
Rfam family: Bacterial small subunit ribosomal RNA
Source: RNAcentral
UAGGGAAUCUUCGGCAAUGGACGAAAGUCUGACCGAGCAACGCCGCGUGAGUGAAGAAGGUUUUCGGAUCGUAAAACUCUGUUGUUAGAGAAGAACAAGGACGUUAGUAACUGAACGUCCCCUGACGGUAUCUAACCAGAAAGCCACGGCUAACUACGUGCCAGCAGCCGCGGUAAUACGUAGGUAGCAAGCGUUGUCCGGAUUUAUUGGGCGUAAAGCGAGCGCAGGCGGUUUCUUAAGUCUGAUGUAAAAGCCCCCGGCUCAACCGGGGAGGGUCAUUGGAAACUGGGAGACUUGAGUGCAGAAGAGGAGAGUGGAAUUCCAUGUGUAGCGGUGAAAUGCGUAGAUAUAUGGAGGAACACCAGUGGCGAAGGCGGCUCUCUGGUCUGUAACUGACGCUGAGGCUCGAAAGCGUGGGGAGCAAACAGG